RNAcentral lists this ribosomal RNA (448 nucleotides) under uncultured bacterium. RNAcentral describes it as "bacterial SSU rRNA". It matches the Rfam family "Bacterial small subunit ribosomal RNA", at positions 329 to 792 of the family's 1533-position model. The record is from RNAcentral.
UCCCAGACUCCUACGGGAGGCAGCAGUGGGGAAUAUUGCACAAUGGGGGAAACCCUGAUGCAGCGACGCCGCGUGAGUGAAGAAGUAAUUCGUUAUGUAAAGCUCUAUCAGCAGGGAAGAAUAAAUGACGGUACCUGAGUAAGAAGCCCCGGCUAACUACGUGCCAGCAGCCGCGGUAAUACGUAGGGGGCAAGCGUUAUCCGGAUUUACUGGGUGUAAAGGGAGCGUAGACGGCGAUGCAAGCCAGAUGUGAAAGCCCGCGGCUCAACUGCGGUAGUGCAUUUGGAACUGUAUGGCUGGAGUGCAGGAGAGGCAGGCGGAAUUCCUAGUGUAGCGGUGAAAUGCGUAGAUAUUAGGAGGAACACCAGUGGCGAAGGCGGCUUACUGGACUGUAACUGACGUUGAGGCUCGAAAGCGUGGGGAGCAAACAGGAUUAGAUACCCGAGUA